UGAACGCUGGCGGCAGGCCUAACACAUGCAAGUCGAGCGGAUGACAGGAGCUUGCUCCUGGAUUCAGCGGCGGACGGGUGAGUAAUGCCUAGGAAUCUGCCUGGUAGUGGGGGACAACGUUUCGAAAGGAACGCUAAUACCGCAUACGUCCUACGGGAGAAAGCAGGGGACCUUCGGGCCUUGCGCUAUCAGAUGAGCCUAGGUCGGAUUAGCUUGUUGGUGAGGUAAUGGCUCACCAAGGCGACGAUCCGUAACUGGUCUGAGAGGAUGAUCAGUCACACUGGAACUGAGACACGGUCCAGACUCCUACGGGAGGCAGCAGUGGGGAAUAUUGGACAAUGGGCGAAAGCCUGAUCCAGCCAUGCCGCGUGUGUGAAGAAGGUCUUCGGAUUGUAAAGCACUUUAAGUGGGAGGAAGGGUUGUAGAUUAAUACUCUGCAAUUUUGACGUUACCGACAGAAUAAGCACCGGCUAACU
RNAcentral lists this ribosomal RNA (476 nucleotides) under Pseudomonas sp. Its description in RNAcentral is "bacterial SSU rRNA". It matches the Rfam family "Bacterial small subunit ribosomal RNA", at positions 30 to 502 of the family's 1533-position model. Lineage: Bacteria; Pseudomonadati; Pseudomonadota; Gammaproteobacteria; Pseudomonadales; Pseudomonadaceae. The record is from RNAcentral.